AAUAAUUAAUUAUGCAUUUAACUAUGUUAGCAUGCCAAAUAUUUUUUAAUAUCAAAUAAUAUUUAUGGAUUCUUUCGAUUGCGACAAUCCUCAGUUUGACCUGAGUGACGCGGAUGUCGCAGUCCUCGUAUUCGAUUACUGCAGUUCUCUCAGAUGUGAAAACGGAAACGUACUCAGAAAAAAAUUCGCCAGAGCUUGGACCGAAUUGGCGAUUGAAAAGGGCCUCGGGGAAGCCUUGGCUAAGUUCAAUCUCGAAGGCGUUAGAAGGGCUCUGGUACCCGGAAGGGAAUACGACGACCUGUCCUCAAUUUUAGGCAUCAAAAAUCAAUCCUAUUUCGAAAAAGCCGGGAAAUUGAGCUGGGACGAAACCAAUAGCCAGACUUACAUAUGUACGACCCUGGUCUUGCUCUUUUUCAACACAUUUCUUCUUGUCGCCGUCGGUUUAUACUUUUAUUUCAAGCCAAAAAGACAAUAUGAAACAAUCACUCCAUCAUGAUCGCCGUCGACCGAUGGGGCAUCCGAUGCGCCCUCGCUUCUCCUCCUUUGGUCAAUGAGAUUUAUGUUUCUUGGGGAUGACUACUGAUAAAAUACAGCCUUAUGAUGUCUUCCAACGAUCCACACCGCUCUUGCAGUAAAGAAAAAGAAGUAAAAAUCCGUGACCCCACCUCCAGUACCAUUAGUUUUUUUGAAUAUUCCAAUCGCCAUUUAUCUAGGGGAUUUGAAGAAAACCAAGGUGGCCUCCUUGCUAAAGAGCGUGAAGAAGAAUCAGUACUUGAAGAAAACAAAGGAAAGAAACGUCAGUCGAGAGCAUGCAGUUUAGAAAAGGGCGCCCCUCCAAAAAAGGUAGAGGAGAAGAAGGGCCAUGAUCGCCAUGCCCCUAAGAAAACUGAUAGCCGGACCAAGCAGAAGCAGGGAAAUCCUUACGCUAUUGUGGUGGAACGUAAUCAAAAUUGGUCUCAGUGCAGUGUGGGCAGUGACGAGAUUUGUCUGAAUAAACCCAGUUUCAGUAAAGUUAGUGGUGCUACUGGAACGGAUAGUACCUCGGUGAACUCAUCGCCCUCUGCGGACUUACAACGGAUAUCAUGAUGUUAUGAACGAUCUUCUACCACAUGAAAAAUGAGAGUGUGAGCAAUUAUAAAAGAAAAACGAGAAUGCCCGGCAAUUUUGUUAGUGUUGAUCGUCAAGAUGCUGAUUAUUUUAAUGACACUCCGUGAGGACGAAAUGGAUCAAGCCCAAAAGACAUUUGAAGGAUAUCAGAAGAGGAUUGGAGGAUUGACAUCGAUUUAGAGAAAUCGUAAAUCCUGUAUUGACAUAAACCUCAGUUAGUAAGAAAUUCCAUUGUUCUCGCCCGACUGAAGAAGUGUGAUAUUGAAGAAUACAGUCGUCCUGAUGAAAGGGUCGGAAAAGAAUCUGAAAUUAAAAAAAUUGUAAAAUGA
Cimex lectularius (bed bug) is the source of this 1436-nucleotide RNA transcript. RefSeq lists it as uncharacterized. Lineage: Eukaryota; Metazoa; Arthropoda; Insecta; Hemiptera; Cimicidae. The record is from RefSeq and is a predicted model, not a curated record. The transcript has 17 exons.